AACAGAACUUUGAAUUCUAAAAGAGAUAUCAAAACAGGGAUGAAGCUUCAGCAUCUUGUAUUGUCGGUCGAUAGAGCCUCUGUAAAGCAAACGGUUGUGGCAGUAGAAAAUGGUGAUGAGUGUUGACCCUUGCGUUUAACUUGGAUCGAUCUGCAGCAACACAAUUUCCGGUCGGUUUUACGUUUAUGUUAUAUGUUAUGAUGUGAUUCAAUUUGUCGUCUUCAAUAAAAU
This 231-nucleotide long non-coding RNA is filed under the name Lathyrus oleraceus (garden pea). RNAcentral describes it as "Pisum sativum (pea) long non-coding RNA (PSAT_LNC014952)". The record is from RNAcentral. Lineage: Eukaryota; Viridiplantae; Streptophyta; Magnoliopsida; Fabales; Fabaceae.